Anolis carolinensis (green anole) is the source of this 10159-nucleotide long non-coding RNA. RefSeq lists it as uncharacterized. The transcript has 2 exons. The record is from RefSeq and is a predicted model, not a curated record. NCBI's taxonomy places the organism in Eukaryota, Metazoa, Chordata, Lepidosauria, Squamata, Anolidae.
AGCCAGUGGAUGGGAAGCCCCCCCCCCCCCCCCAUAAUGGGCUGAUUUUUGGGGCUCUGAACAAAACAAUAAAAAACAACCCUCCCAAUUUUGGAAGGCUUUCCAAAAAUGGAUUGGGCCCCGCAAGGAAAGCCGGAAACGAAACAGGACAAGCUUUUACCCUAAUGCACACCACUACAAUUUAGAAGGUGAGGUAACUGGGACCUAUUGAGAGAGUGCCUUCUUUCCCCUAUUAAACACUUGAGUCCUGUUUUCUUUAUAAAAAGGAAACAUCCAAUAAGCCAUAAGGUAGCUGAAUACAUUCACCAGUAGAUCAGCUUGGUAGAAGAGGAAGCAGAAAUGUAUGUGAAGAGAGUGGUGGAGAGAAGAAGGCUGAAGGAUGCCUUUCCCAUCGACCACUUUCCCACCUCCACAGCCCUGACAAGGGGCUUAUUAAAGAAAAGCAGGCACAGCUAUGUGGAGGAGAGGGCAAAAUAAGGGCAUUUGUUCUCCAAAUAAGUCAAGUCAACUAUAUUUGUAUGCCAUCCCAUCUCCCCUUGGGGAUUCAGGGCGGCUAACAACAUGGAUGGCAGCCAUUCAAUGCCCCACAAAUACACAAAAAUAGAAACACACAAUAAAUUAAAAGCAAAUAAUUAAUACAACAAUGUAUCAUAAUUAAAACACAAUAGCAAUAAAGUAAACAAAAUACCAUUAAAGCAAAGGCAAACCCCUCCUAAACAGCUCUUAGGUAUAACACCCUGCCAUAAGGACACCAUGUACUGGAAAUAAAAGCACACAACAACAGCAACAGCAACAACAUGACACUCUGAAAAUACAAUUAUGUCAUGGAUAUUUUGUGCAAUGACUGGAAUCUCAGGAUGUGUUUGGGUUAUACAGGAGGCAAGCUGUUAAUCAUGGGAAAACCUACAAAUGUGACCUUCAUCCCAAUGCAUAAGAAUUCUACUCCCCCUCAAAUGACAUUUUCUUUCAGUCCUCAAUUUUUUAGCAUAGCAGUAACUUUCAGAUGAGCAUUUAGAGAUGCAGUUUAAGCACCUAAAGAAAAGGGCAAGCAAAGUUAGCAAAGUAGCACAAACCCAGCAAAUGUAGGACAAUUUAGAAGAUGUGAAUGAUUUUCAGUAUCUCACUCUGCAUUGCUAAAAAUUUGGAAGGACAAUUUCAUGGGGAAGCACAGAACACUUAUUUGGGGGGAAUACCUUCACUCCUUUCAUCCCCAUAGCUACACUUGGAUUUAUUCAAUAGGAAAGAAAAGCAUGGGAGAUCCCUAUAAGGCUGGCCUUUUGAAUCAGAAGGAAGAAGUCAUAGCUUAUGCUGGAACAGGGGUAGCAAGAUGUUGGAGAAACCUACACAGGCUUAGCCUGGGCUUCCUUGUUGUCCCCAGGUAUGGCAGACAUUGCUUUCCCUUUGCUAGUAUUGAAGACAGAUUUAAUGGCUAAUCAAAAGAGCUUUUGUAUGUGGAAAGGAGGGAAGCACUAAAAUAUUUCAGGCCAGGUUUGAAUAUUGUCUGGUUUUCUCCUUAGAAUGGAGGUAUAUAAAGAAUACAUUGUUGUGGCCAUUUCAUUUUGGAUGUUGCAGAUAAAGGAAGCUCACAUCCAGCACAGAGGGAGAGAUUGUAUUCCUACACAGCAUGAAUGUUUAUGAAAAUAAAACGUGAGCUUUCACUUCAGAGAUGCCUGACCGCUUGCCUUUCUGUCCAGUCACAGGCAGAGAUUAUACCCAUUUUUUUGGGGGGGGGGGGGGCAACUGCUCAACUCUUUCAAUGGCCAUGUUGGCUCAGGAAUUCUGGACAUUGAAUAAAAAUAAAAUAUUAUUUUCAGCUCUCUGGACUAGUUGGCUCAUAGCACUUUCAGAGUUGACUGAUUGCCUCUUUGGCAGGAAGACACAGGAAUGAGUUUGUUGGCUUCCCGUUUUGUUUAAAACUGGUAGAAAGAAAAAUAGAACAGGGAGAAAUUUAUACUCAGGCAAGAAAACCGCAUAACCCACAUUGGCUUUAUUAUCUCAGGCCUGUCAAUUGUAUGCCUGUCAAGAGGCAAAGGUUUGCUCCUAGUUAUGUCCCUUCAAUGUGUUCUUUAGAUUUCUCAGUAGUUUAUUUUCUUUUUUUAAAGAUGAAUCAAUAACAACUUUUAAAAGGCGGUAAAGCACUUCUAAUUAAAUGCUUUGGCCUGCAGAUGGAUCUAGGAGGAAUUAUAACACAGGUUGACAUACUAUUUUUAGCACAGCUUGCCUCUGUUCAUGUGUCGUCCAUUUUCCCCAGAUGCUUUUGACAUAUGCCAGAGUGUUCACACGACUAAUCACUCAGGAGCUUAGCCAUGUGAAAUAUAUUUGUUGUCAUGUGUGUGUGGGCAUGCAGGAUCUUGACUGUAUGAGUGAAAAAUAAAAUAGCAUUUAUUCAGAUUGUGGGAACGAGGAACGAUGCUUAACUGGGAGCCACCAGGUUAUAACUGUUUGACUUGACUUGUUUGAACUCACUUUUUGAACCAAAUUCAGCAAGACAUGGGGAAGUCUUCUCUUUAGGCUGAACUCUGCCUUUUUUUGCCCUGUAUUAAAAAAAGAAUUCUAUCACCACUAUGAGAAAAGCAUGUUUUCACCUAUAUUUACUUGCUUUGAGUAUUUUUUCUUGUGGUUCAAAGGGGGAAUAAUAUCAGGACCUAGGUAGCUCACUAAAGCUUUGUCUCCCUCCAAAGUAUUUCAAGCCACCAAAUAUUUUUUUUAAAUGAAAUCUAGAACUGGGUUGUUGUGUGUUUUCUGGGCCAUGUUCCAGAAGCAUUCUCUCCUGAUGUUUUGCCCACAUCUAAGGCAGGCAUCUUAAUCUAGAACUCUCUCCUCAAUGGUCUGUGCUCCAUGAUUUCAGGACAAUAGACUCAUCUACAUUAACGAGCCCUGGAAAAAGAGGAUGGUAGCGCAUCAUGUGAACAGCAGACUAAUCCACAUCAGACUCCGUCCUACUGUUCACAUUGUUCCUAAAUGGCGGGGUUGCUCUGGAAUGUCAACCAAACUCUGGAGCAUCCCCCAACUUUCCUUAGUAAGGUAAAGGUUUUCCCCUGACGUUAAGUCCAGUCAUGUCUGACUCUGGGGGUUGGUGCUCAUCUCCAUUUCUAAGCCGAAGAGCCGGCAUUGUCUGUAGACACCUCCAAGGUCAUGUGGCCAGCAUGACUGCAUGGAGCGCUGUUACCUUCCCGCCGGAGCGGUACCUAUUGAUCUACUCACAUUGGCAUGUUUUUGAACUGCUAGGUUGGCAGGAGCUGGAGCUAACAGCGGCUGUUCACACCGCUCCCGGGUUUGAACCUGGGACCUUUCAGUCUGCAAGUUCAGAGGCUCAGCGCUUUAACACACUUCGCCACUGGGGCUCCUUAACUUUCCUUAAUGGGGGAUUAAACUGGAUUUACUCGAUUUACCCCAUGAUAAGUACUAGAAAUCCCGGAACAUCGUGAAAAUAGCCAGGAGCAACUACACAGUGAGUGUGGGCUAUUAAGCACAUGUAGACAAGCCCAAUGUGUCCCUAUCAAUAUUACUCCAACUAAAUGUCUGAGAUAAGGGUGAUGCCUGCAAUCCUGUAUGGGAUUUACAAAUGUGAAAAAACUAUAGUUAUUAUGCUACUCAUUGGAUCUGUUCCCCAGUCCACAUGGUGAUGAAUGAGAGUCUGUACCACUAUUAACCAGUAAGUAGUUGACUGCUGGUUCUACCCUCAUGUGCAAUUCCCCCUCACACUGGAGACUGAUCAUUAGAGAACAGGGUGGGAAGUUCAGUCAGCUGCUCAUUGACUGGUGGAGAAACAGAUCUUUGUCAAGUGCAGUGCCUGCUGAUUGGUUAGAGGGUGUGGAAGACUUUCAUGGUUUUUAUGUAGCUCAUAAAUUAGUGGUUACAUAUGGAUGGUGAAUAUGUAAUACUCAAUGGACCUGUCUACAGGAGCAAAAGAAAUCAUAUUCACUUUGUCGCUGCCUUGAACCUGACCUGCAGUAUAUGGCUCCUUUAGCAGUGAAAGUGUUUUUUUAGACAUGUGAUAUACCAAAACUCAACAAAAGAGUGAACAUAUGUUAUGUUAUUUCCUAACUGAUACGGACCACCUGGAAAGUACAGUUUAAGAUUGGGGUUUUGUUUCCUUGGGUUCUGCUAAUUAAGGGAAGAAAGGGGUGGUGCCUCUCCUCCAAUUUAUGUAGGUGUAGUGGUGGCCUGGCAUGAAAAUUCUUAUCAAUGGCAAUUUGUUUAAUAUGGCCAUGCCAUAUAACAUAACAUAAAGUUAUAUAACAUAAAGUAAUGCCAUAUAACAUAACAAAAAUUGACUUACUUUAUGUGAGAAUACCAGUUUGAAGACUAUGAGUCACUCAUUUAUGGAAAAAUUAAACCUUGGAUAAAUAGGCAGGACCAGAUGAAGAACCUUUGCCUUGCCCAGUAUUUCAGUUGAUUUAUCUAUUACUAUCAGGUGCAGUUUGUAGUACCGAAGUCACAGACCUGUCAAUGUCUAUGUAUGCACCAUAAGAUUUGGUUAACCCAGCUAGCUCUGCUAUGUUGGAAACACUGAUCACAUCCUCAGAGAAACUAAAAUCAACAAGUCAUGGAUGGUUGAAUCUGAAUGCAGGAUCUAUGGAUGUGGAGAGCCGACUGUAUGACCUGUUACAUUAUUCAACUGUACAUGUAUCUACUAGCUAUGAAGGAAAAGCACCAAGGAACUCCUUUACUGAAUUACAGAGCAGGACACUGUCAAGAGCACUGUCAGAACAGAGGCACACAAGGCAGAUCACUGUGUAAUGCACAUCAUGCAUUGAGCACUUUGCCAGAGGUGACUAACAGAAAAUAUGACAGAAGGCAGUAUUGAAGACAUUUUGGUAUCUAUAUCAGAAAGUAUGGGGAAAAAUCUAUUUUGUUUUGCAAAAACAGUAUAUAGGGUAAGCUUACCAUACGCUCUUAACCAGUACAAUGGAAAGUUACUUUUUGUAACACUGGGCAUUCUGCCUGGAGUAUUCUGGAAGUCACAGUCCAAAAAAGCAACUUUUCCAAGCUCUGCUGUCAUAAAAGAGAGAGACAGACUAAGAACGCCUGCUGGCAAACACUUAAGUGGUUAUGAUGACUUUUUGUGUAACCACUUGGCAAGGUGGAGGUCUGUUUCAUCCUGCCAAGCCGUAAAGACAACGUUAAGCCCAUUCUUUUCAAACAUUUCUUUCCCUGAAUUAAGCCAGUCACACCCCGAGGAAUUAGAUUUAGCAAGUUGUUGGCUUUGUUCUAGUACUUAUUAUGGCAGCCACUACAGUGGUUAGAAAAACCACCACAGUGCUAAGCUUUGCCACCUAGAAAGCAGAGCCAGCCAUGUCAUUUGACAGAGAGAAGAAGGCUCCUCCAGCAGUGGCUGGUGAGGGUAGGGAGAGAUACAGGUAAGGAUAUGGAAGACAUAGCUUUGUGUACCUGCAGCUUCCCUAUUGCCCAUGAGUAUAGCAGAGACCCAUUUCUAGUGUUGUAAUGAGAUCCUAGCAGUGUCAGCUGAUCAUUUCCAUAUGUGUUACCAAUUAAUAAUUCUGGACUUUGGCCCAUACUUUAGGAAAUAGUAACUCCCGUAUCGUAGCAACCCCGCUGGUUACCAACCUAUCUCUGGGCAGAAUCCAGUGUUGGUUAUUAAUUCCCUACAUGGCUUUGAUCUAGACCAGGGGUCCUGUUUGGUUGGUAUUACUGGUAAUUCAUUCUUCCAUUUUUAUGAUAUGAAAGUCUUGCUGCCAUGGUCAUAUACUGAAAUAAUUCUCCAUGUUUCCUUUCCAUUUGCACAUUCAUCAAAUCACAUUCUCUCAGGCUCAGAGUGAAGCAAAGGCAAACUCCAUCUGAAUAAAUCAUUCCAAGAAAAAAUCCUGUUACAGGUUCAAAUUAGUGUCACCAUAACCUGGAAACAACUUGAAGAUGCAUGAUGACAGCAACAAGAUAAAUUGAAUAAAAUAAGAUAGCUCAACGUACUUUGGUACUGGAGGAAAAUCCUGAGAGUGCCCUGGACCACAAGAAGAUCCAACCAGUCAAUCCUCCAGGAAAUAAUGCCUGGCUGCUCACUGGAGGGAAGGAUAUUAGAGAUUAAGUAUUUUUGCCACAUCAUGAGAAGACAGGAAAGCUUGGAAAAGAUCAUGAUGCUGGAAGAAAUGGAAGGAAAAAGAAGAGAGGCCGACCAAGGGCGAGAUGGAUGGAUGGUAUCCUUGAAGUGACUGGCUUGACCUUGAAGGAACUGGGGGCAGCGACAGCCGACAGGGAGCUCUGGCGUGGACUGGUCCAAGAGGUCACGAAGAGUCGGAAACGACUGUGUGAUUGAAGAAGAAGCUCAAUGUACAGUGCAUUGCAGAAGUCCAACUGCAAUAAACUGAAGAAUUUGCCUAAUGGCAUUAUGUAUUCCAGGGCACCCAUUUCAAAGAUUUGAAUUUUCUUAGGGGACAUAUCUGAGCCAAACCUAAUUGCUGGUCGCAUAGAGUAGAUCCAUAGAAUCAAUGGAGCUUCUAUGAGUAUUAACUUACACAAUUCCCAUUGAGGCAAUAGCUGUAAUGGAGGACACUCUGUAUCUCCCUCUAUGGGAGAACACAAACAUGCUGUACUUUUAAUAUUAGAGCUGGUAAAACAUUUGGUAGCUGCAGCAUGGAAUAUAAGUGUAUGAAAAGUUGCACACAUUCUCUCUACUACCCAACUGUUAACAUUAGAAAUUUCCCAUGUCUUCUUUGUAUAACAUGGGCCACAUUUGUCAUAGAUUCUCUUUGCAUACCAACAUUGACCUUGCAGAAUCAAAGAAAAUUCUCCCAAAGGAACCUAAAACAUUAACAUUUUCUGUGAUGACCAGGGGUAAGUUUGUUGUAAGAAUUCUUUCCUACCACCACUUAUUAUAUACAGCUAAAAUUUCCAUGUUGCAGCCCAAAAUGUUGAGUGGGAGUCAAGCUAGCCAUGUGCAAUUCUUUCCCAGGACACCUAUUUGCUCUUAUUUCCUUAACACAGUAUGAAGUUAAAUAGCAAAAUCCUAUUUAGGUGGCACACAGAGAAGCAUAGUGAUAACUACCCAGGUGGAACUGCUUCUACUUCACUUGGGCUAUUGAUGGGAAAAGCUUCCUGUUGCAUUACAAGUUAUCAUUCCUUCAAGGCUAUGUUAGAUGGGAAAUUUUAGACAAUGUAAGCUUUGGUCUGGUCUGCAACCUGCUUGCAUCUUUAAUAUUAGACUGGUGAAACUGUUUUGUAGCUGCAGUAUGACAUACUGGGGAAACCAGUCCAUAUCUCUUCUUUUUGCAAUUUUGCUCAUGUUCAAAAGUAUGAGUCCCAGAGAUUCCUAGUAAGAAUGAAAACUCAAUCCAAUAUCUGAUUGAGCCAGCCAGUCUUUAACAAUUGUGGAGCAGUUUAUUAUUGUCCCAAAGGUUAGAAGUCAAGUAUUUUAUUUUUAUUCUUUAGUGACUAGAGAGCUCUGGAAUGCAGUCUGGGGCCAUCUCAGGCAAACAAAGAUUUCCUCUGACCAGGUGCUUAAUGCCUCUUGGAGGGGGCGAGCCACUAGCAUGCUACAGUCCUCAACAAGGACGCUGAGUACUGAUCCUGAAAAUAGUACUUAACUGACCUUUAUGAAAUAGAAUAUGUCAGGAGUGCAGCAAAUGGCAACACCACAAAAAUAUGUACAAUGCUCUUAAAGCAUUUUAUUCCUACUUACAAACAACCCAAGUGUCAUUGUAUACAGUAUGACCCAUAUAUCUGCAGGGAAUACAACCCAGGGAAUACAUAAAUAUGUGAAACCACAAAUAACUGGAACUCCCCCCCUUUCCAAAGAAGUAAAAAUUUCCCCCUCUCUCCUCUCCUUAAAAAAACUUAAAAACUCAUCUUUGCACCUUAACUUAUGGAGAGGAGGAGCAUUGGAACAUCUUAAUACAUAACUUCAUUUGGACACUGGAAAUCUACUCUGGCUCUGUUUGGUUGUUCAUCAUCAUCAUCACAUUGUUUUAUAUAACAUCAUUCAUCCUCAUUUUAUACUUUUAAUGUAUUUUAACUAUUUAGAUUUUAUUAUGAUGUAAAUGUGUAUGUUGAUGUUUAUUUGUUUAAAUUAUUCUUUGCUUAGUCAUUUAAGUUUAUUAGUUUAUAUUGAUGAUAUUUGUUUAUUGUUUGAUUUGUUUUGUUUGUUCAUUACAGCAUUGAAUGUUUGUUCUGGAAACUGCCCCAAGUCUCCUUGGGAAGAUAGGGCAGGUUACAAAUAAAAUUUAUUAUCAAGUUUAUUAUUAAUAAGAAACUCUAAAGGACCUCUGGCCCAUAGAGAUGUGCUUGAGCACCUAGAAAAUGCACUAGAGAUAGCAUAUUUUGACAGAUGUGGAUAAAUGUGAUUAUGGAUAUAGGUCCUGACAGUAUGGAAAAACAGAAUAACUGGCUUGGUUUUCUGAGGUAGUAGGUAGUGACUUCCUUAUCAAUGACAUGGUGGAUUAAUUUCUGUUUUUUAAUUCAGACUUCAAAAGGACCACCUAUGCUACUCAGCCCUAACCCUUGCAGUAACUUCAGCACCUUGGAUAGCCAUGGUUGAGUUAGAUUAAACCUGGAGUGAAUUCAGCACCCCUCUAACACAAAAGCUACCAUGAGUUCUCAAAUUGGAUACCCAUUGGUUAUGGAUGAAAAAUUGAUGGAUCUGGGGAGAGUAACAUUUUGAGAUUAAAACUCACAGAACCUUCCAAUAGCCAAUGAUUUUUCCAACUUAAGGAUUCUGGUCAGUGACCUUGCUGGCUGAAUUUGAAGCUGGUACAAAAAGCCACUUUUCAGGCUCUAAAUCUGAAGCAUAAACUCCACAUGUCCUUUUAUGUGCCAGGCAAUAACUCCAAGAUGAUGGCUCUUCACUGAAAAGCAUAAAGGUGCUCAAAGAGAACAUAACCAUGCCUCACAUUUUGUGGCUCUGCCACACCCUCUCUUUCGUCCUACCUGCUGUUUUCAGCAGAUCUCUCACACACAGCAGGUAGCAGAGCGGGAGAUAGAACAACCAGAGCAGCAGUCUGAAAGGCUCCAAUUUUCAUUCUUUCAAAGGUUUUUUAAGAGAGUGGCACCUUGGAGCUUUUAAAAGUGCUCUCUCCAAGGGAAGAGCUAGCAAUCCCCUCUUUUUUACACAAAAAGAGAGAGGGCAUAUCUAUGUUGUUAUGUCUGUUCAUUGCAACAGGAGCCAGAAAUGCACAAGGAACCAAUUUCAAUUCAUAAGACCUCUUUAUGAUGGCAAGGCAGUACUAGGGAAAGAGUUGUGGACUUGCAGCCAGCGUGCAAAUCGAAAGAUCCAGUGGGCUUGCCUGGGCAAGUUGGUGCAUUUAAUUCCUUGAGCACUCAAAAUACUGUAAACAGAUAGGGAAAAUUACUUUUCUACAUAAAGGAGGAUAGUUGGGGAGAAGUGAGGGAUUGCCACUGACACAGCGCCUGGUUCCUGAAGAUGGGGCUGCCCUGUGAACAUUCACAGGACAUCAUUGUCUCCAGGAGUUGAAUAGUGAGGGGAGUCUGUCAGCCAUGCUGUGCCUAUCUCUCAAAAAUGGGAGGCAAGGCAUGGCACAGGCAGUUAGCUCUGAGGACAGUAUUGCCCCGGAAAUGUUCACAGGGCAGUCCCAUCUUCAGGAGCCAGGCAUGGCAUGGUAUGAGGAGUGAUGACUAGUGUGUGUGUUUUCACUGGGCAAAAAAAGGGAUGUACGUGACAAAACAGACACUCAUGACACACAGAAAGAGAAGCCAGGAUUCACAGGGUAAGUGAAGUGGCAGACGUGCACAGGGCCUGGUCCUCUUCCUAUGUGCCACAUGUGUCUAUUUCAUCCAUUCAUUACUCUAAACUUCACAAAAGUGAAGGACAAACUGUACUAUUAAAGAAAAGGCCUCUUCUGGAUCUAAAAUAACAAAAGGAGGGGACAUCUUAAGAGGCAUUGGGAGAUACCCCCCCCCCCUCAAAUCCUGCAAGUGGCUUAUAGUGGCCCCACCUCUGAUGUAAAUCCAGUAUCAUUGGGUAGCUUGAUCUAUCAUUUGUGAAAUCUCGUUUUGUAUCAUCAUUCAGCCUUGAACCUCACUGGCUAAUCUUGAGCCAGUCACAAUUUCUCAGAAUAACCAGCCUCGCAAGGGUUGUCAUGGAUGUUGUGUGUGCUCUCUGGUAAAAUGUAAAAAUUGUUUCACUCGGAAGAAAAGUGUUUUUUCCCCUUUUUCCAAAGAAAAAGAAAACAUAAAAAACAGAAUCAUA